This 27-nucleotide microRNA is filed under the name Bombyx mori (domestic silkworm). Its description in RNAcentral is "bmo-miR-3391-5p". The record is from miRBase by way of RNAcentral. Lineage: Eukaryota; Metazoa; Arthropoda; Insecta; Lepidoptera; Bombycidae.
AGGUCGUGGUAUUUCGUACCUUCAUGG